UACGGAGGGGGCUAGCGUUGUUCGGAAUUACUGGGCGUAAAGCGCGCGUAGGCGGCUUUGUAAGUUAGAGGUGAAAGCCCGGAGCUCAACUCCGGAACUGCCUUUAAGACUGCAUCGCUAGAAUUGUGGAGAGGUGAGUGGAAUUCCUGGUGUAGCGGUGAAAUGCGCAGAUAUCAGGAGGAACACCGGUGGCGAAGGCGGAUCUCUGGGCCUUACCUGACGCUGAGGCGCGAAAGCUAGGGGAGCAAACAGG
Molecule: ribosomal RNA, 253 nt
Filed under: uncultured bacterium
Lineage: Bacteria
Description: partial 16S ribosomal RNA
Rfam family: Bacterial small subunit ribosomal RNA
Source: RNAcentral